GUGCUAUGGUUUCUGGCCCUGGUGUUGUUGGAUUGAAAUGAUGGCUGCAAUCAGAGUCAUAGUGCAUUGCACUUCAUCUGCGCUACUGUUUCUUUAAAGCUGCUGCUUUGCAAGAUUCUCCUCCUCUGGACUUGUCCUAAUCUCAAUUACUUUUGGUCAGCUGGAGUUUUCCUCUAGAGAAGAAGAGGAGGAGAAUGGCCUCUGUACAGAUAUUGGGUGGCUGUGCUGGGAAAGAAAAAAGAAGACACAAGAAAAGACUGUUGAACCUGUGACAAGAAAAAAGGGAUCAUAUGAAAACCUUAAGAAGAGCUCUGCUCUAUAGCUCCAUCCGUUUCCUCUCUGCUGCAAGGGGCCAGGUUGCCAAAAGAAGAGCUGUCAUCGCCAAGCUGAUACGAGCCAUCUCCUCUCCUUCUCUGGAGCAUUUAUACAGCUUUUGUCCGGAUGCUGAAUAUAUUCUUUCCUCCGUGUGUCACUUCCAGAGAAGCACUGUUGAGGUGAAAUGCCACUCAGCCGUCACAGACCAUUUACCUAUGGGGGCUGGUUGGAAAGUCAUGGGCUGAGACCGUGCAGGGCCCUAGGACAGCAGACCGCUUCUGCCGCUGCAGCAGCCUACAGGAACAUCCUGACAGUGACGUAGUGCAUGGAUCCCUCUGGAACGUGGCCAGUGCAGCUUGCAAGGAAUCAUUAAGGAAACAACCAUUUUGUUGCUGGUGUUGAGCAACACCGUGCAAUUCUUGCUAAAAAUCACUCUAUGCCGCCCAUUCAGCAACUUUCAUUUCUGAUUAAGCUUUCCAGCCUGUAGGUAUCUUUUCGCACAUCUGUCUUAGCAUUUCCAUUUAGAAGGGUUUAAUUUAGAAAUCCAUUGUGCCUAGCCCUGCACAGACCAAGCCAAUUUAUUUCACAUAAUGCUUCAACACCAUGCACUUUAAGGAAACAGACUUGUCUUAAUUCCUUUAUGGAGGGGAAGGAUGGACUUGUGCUUCAGGUGUUGGCUUGAGAUUCUGGAGAAAUGGAUCCUGUUCUGACAGUAUCCACAGAUUUCCUGAGACCUUUGUCAAAUCACUUAUUCUGCCUUGAACCUAACUUCUCUCUCUGGAAAAUAAUCAACAUAACGCUCCCUACCUCCUGUGAUGGGGGAUAACCAUAGUAUCUAGGAUGCAUCAGAGUGCCUGUAUUACGUGCUUUACCAACAGAAUAGAAAGGUGAUCUCUGCCCUGGAGGGACGUCACUGCUUGAGUGCAAUGGAGAGACAACAGGCGGGUGCAAGUCUGCUGAGAAGCAAUGAGACAAGGCAGAGCUGACUGGCAAACAGACCCUGGGCAUUGCCCACCAGCUGCCUAGAGCAUUUCCAUAAGCAUCUAGUCGGGGAGGGAUGUGAAGGAAGCGAACGAAUCGCUCUGUGGGCGUUCGCAGGAAGCUACCACCAAGCGUGAGGGAGAAGCACGGGACAAGGCGCAGAAGUGGCGGUUGGAGAAUCCAUGUGGGUGAUCUUCUCAGGCAGCCCGGCGGACAGGAGACUCCGUGGUACGCCUGAAGCGAGCACAGACACCUCCCCUCUCCUCGGCAGAGCUCAACUGGCAAAAGUUGAUCUUUUCAUUCACUUGAGGGAUUCUGUUUAUUCUCUAAAUGCCUCUGGGCCUUACUUAUCAAGUCUGUUUUCCUUCUCUUUGUCACUGUCAGAGCAAAAUGUGAGUUUGAGAAGAGCCUCUCUCACCCCAAGUUACGCUCAGGGGACGACGCGUUUGCACUGAGGAGGUGGUGUGAAUCCUGAGUGGUGCCAGCCCUUCGCAGACCCCACUGGUACCAGUAGACCUAAAGACAGGUGCUCUCCAUGCGUGGGGGCUGUGAGCAUGGGUGAAGCUUCCAGUGGCCACGUGCCCUCCAGUGCUCUCAUCGCCAUCAAUCAAGCUCUUCCCUGCAAAGCAGUAGCGGAGGAAGCUCAAGAAGCAUCGCUUUUUAAUUUCAGUGCUGCCACAGUCACUGACGUCCUCGCUAAUCCUCUUGCGGCAGCAGGCUGCUCAUCAAAAACUCUGCUCGCCACUUUGGCAUCAUUCUGGAAAGCCAACAGAGCUCAGAGAUGCUCGAUUCCUCCCCCUCCACACACCUUCCAUUGUCUUCAGGACUGACAGCUCUGAUGUGGAGCGGUGAUAAAAGCCAGCUGAUGCUGUCAGGGCCUGGUACAAUUGCACCGCAGGGAAAAAGGCGACUGGCUCUGACUCAUCCUAGCCGCCUGGAGCUCAGCAUGCCUUGCACACGUUCUGUCUCCUGGCACGGCUCAGCACACAACAAGGCACAUGUGGUGGUUCCUGGCUACUGCCCUGCAAGGCAGGAGUUGAUGGUGGGUCUUUGAAACAGCUAGCAGUGGUGUCCAAGUGAGACCUUCUAGAAUGAGUGGCCAGCCAUCCCUUGAGAUGCUAGAAAAACCCACAGGAAAAAGAAAAGACUCCUUUGCAGGUCUCUGUCUGUGGUGAGAAUGGGGGAACUGGCAGCCAGAGGAAUAAAGCUGGUUAGUUGGCUGUUCCUUUAGCAGAGCGUUUCUGCAACUUCUGAGUGGUAACACUGGGACAGUAGCACCCGUCCUUCAUCACCUCACGAAUCUCUCGUAACGGACUGAGCUGAGUCUGGGUUGAAGUUCUGAGGUGCUCCAAAAAGGGGUUCCAGACUUGAAAUGCUUCAGGAGUGCCAAGCUGGGAAGGGAAGGAGAUUCAAAGCAGGGAAGUUGGACUGUGAUGUGAACUUCAGGGUGACCUUGAGGAAACUGGCCAAAGGCUGCCCAUCCUGUCCAGGUCAUCAGCUGAAAUUUCCAUUAUUGGAGUUAGAAACUCAAGGGUCAUUUCUGUUUCAUUUUUUAUUUUGUCCCCAACAUGACAUUUGAAUGAGAGGCAUUAGGAGUUCCUCCUAUAAAUAAGAUCACCCCUGUCACAGCUUGUUUUGUCAAACUCUGUGUCAAGCCCAUAAAGAAGGUGCUUCUUAGAUCUGCUGCAUGGAGGGUGCAUAAGGGUGUCCAAGGAAGUUCCUGGAUGGUUCGGGAAGUUCGGGACAAGGACGGUUCCUUGUUUCACUAGUUGGUGUUGGGACACCAGCUCUUUUCAAGUCAACAAACAUUAUCAUCCCCAGCUCCCAUCUGGAGGAAUUGGGGAGGGGCGCAGGACAGAUGCAAUGUAGUCAAGGAUCACUGCUGUAUGUUGCAGCAGAAGCAAAGCAUCCCUGGGAUGUUGUGGGAAAAGGCAGUUAAGGCACAGUGUGUGCAUAUUGUGGGACCUCCAGAGCUCCUGUCACAGCAGGAGUUAAAUUAAUUGAUUUCAUCUGGUCCUUCAAAUUCUUUUCCCAGUUCUGCCCUAGAGGUUUGGGGUAACUUGAAAACCCUACACCUUCAGCUGACUCAGUUUCCCCUGGAGAAAGCUGCAGCCUGCUCUUCCUGUAGAGCUGCCCAGUUAUUUUUUAGCUCCAUGAGAAACAGCAGUUUCAGUGGCAGCUGUUACAAAGCGGCUUUGCAGUACUGGAAUUCAGCUGGAGCGUGGCAGUGAAGCCAGGGACACAAAGCAAAGCAUCUUUAAAACAAGAGAGCGUAAGUGUCCCCCUGUGCCAGCUGCAGGGACAUCUGGAUGGAGCUGGCUUGGCAGAGACUGCCGAGGUCACCAGGGUAAUGCAUGAAGGGCUGGCUCCGUAGCAGAGCACCUCAGGUCAGCAGGGAGCCAGAGGGGGAAUCCUGAGGCCCCCUUUCCUUUCCUUCUCCUCCCUGGGUGCUUAUUCCCACCUUUUCACCAAACUUUGUGUUGCUCCAAGACUGGGGGCUGCAAUGAACCUAUACUGCUGAAGUGAUGCAAGUGAAUGUGUCUUAAA
This is a long non-coding RNA of Dromaius novaehollandiae (emu), 3843 nucleotides long. RefSeq lists it as uncharacterized. Lineage: Eukaryota; Metazoa; Chordata; Aves; Casuariiformes; Dromaiidae. The transcript is spliced from 3 exons. The record is from RefSeq and is a predicted model, not a curated record.